AUACGUAGGGGGCGAGCGUUGUCCGGAAUGAUUGGGCGUAAAGGGCGCGUAGGCGGCCCGGUAAGUCUGGAGUGAAAGUCCUGUUUUUAAGAUGGGAAUUGCUUUGGAUACUGUCGGGCUUGAGUGCAGGAGAGGUAAGUGGAAUUCCCAGCGUAGCGGUGAAAUGCGUAGAGAUUGGGAGGAACACCAGUGGCGAAGGCGACUUACUGGACUGUAACUGACGCUGAGGCGCGAAAGUGUGGGGAGCAAACAGGAUUAGAUACCCUGGUAGUCCACACUGUAAACGAUGAAUGCUAGGUGUAGGGGGUAUCGACCCCUUCUGUGCCGCAGUCAACACAAUAAGCAUUCCGCCUGGGGAGUACGGCCGCAAGGUUGAAACUCAAAUGAAUUGGCGGGG
RNAcentral lists this ribosomal RNA (397 nucleotides) under uncultured bacterium. RNAcentral's name for it is "partial 16S ribosomal RNA". It matches the Rfam family "Bacterial small subunit ribosomal RNA", at positions 523 to 918 of the family's 1533-position model. The record is from RNAcentral.